UCCUAAACACCAAAGCGUGACAUAAACUAAUUUUCUAGCUAGAUUAGGCUUGUUUGUUAACCUUUAGGUACGUUUUUGAAACACAAAAGAAACGUUUACUAAAGAGUAAACAUUAAGAAUGCAAAUGCAUUACUUUGCAGAUAAUUUUAUUUUAUAAUAUUUACAUUUGCUCAAGUAACUGGCUACUGUUGCUAGGUAGCUAGCUAGCUAGCUAGCCACAGUAGCUAGCUAGCUAUUCGUAUGAUGAGCUAGCUAGCUAGAAGUAAAAUCUAGGUCUAUAUAAAUUCUGUAUUAAUUUAUAUUCAUUGAGCAGGGUAGUUGCAGGAAAUAUGUGCAACGUAUUUCAAGACGCCACUACAAGACAACCAAGGACUUUAGCUGGGGGCCAGUUUGCCGGGAUCCAGAAAAAGACAUGGAGCUCUGGAGUGAUGGAUUGCUGUGUUGACAGAGAUGUCUGUCUCUGUGGAUUUUUCUGUCCCUGCAUUCAGGCCGUUAAGAUGGCAGAGAAAUACGGAGAGUGUUUCUUACUCUCUCAUGUUCCAUGGACACAUUUUAUGUUGCGAACCAGCAUUCGGGAGCGGUAUAACAUAGAGGGAACCAUUUGCGAUGACUGGUGUAUGACUGCUUUCUGCGGACCAUGUGUUCAAUGCCAAAUGGUUCGUGAAAUCAAUAAGGAGAUUCCUAACUGACACAGCCGGAAAGGGAAUGCUGACCCCCAAAGUGUUGUCUCCCGCACCUUGUUAUGAAAAUGUUAAUUAAAUUGUUGCAGUGAGAACCCUCAAGUUUUUGUACAACAAACUUCUUAUGGUUACAUUAGGACUGCUGUCAUCUGAAGACUAUGCCUGCAAGUCAACAAACGCUUUAUGUCCCUCUGACUAUACAGCACUAUGUGAGCACAACCCUUUAUCCAAAUCCUCAGCAGUAAGAAAAAACAAGACACAGUACCAUGUGACUGUCAGAUGUAUACAAUGUGCAAUAUAAUUUACAGUAUUUUACUAUUCAUGAUAAGUCUGUUAUUACCAGAUUAUGGCUCAUUUAAAUGUAUUCAACUACCAGUUGUUUAUAUGAAAAGAAAUUUGAAAUAAGUACUACACAAGAAUAGUUCAGAAAUUAAAUGAUUGUUUUUUUA
Salvelinus fontinalis (brook trout) is the source of this 1129-nucleotide long non-coding RNA. RefSeq lists it as uncharacterized. The record is from RefSeq and is a predicted model, not a curated record. Lineage: Eukaryota; Metazoa; Chordata; Actinopteri; Salmoniformes; Salmonidae. The transcript has 3 exons.